This 292-nucleotide ribosomal RNA is filed under the name uncultured eukaryote. RNAcentral describes it as "partial 18S ribosomal RNA". It matches the Rfam family "Eukaryotic small subunit ribosomal RNA", at positions 6 to 300 of the family's 1831-position model. The record is from RNAcentral.
GGUUGAUCCUGCCAGUAGUCAUAUGCUUGUCUCAAAGAUUAAGCCAUGCACGUCCAAGUAUACGCUUUUACUCGGUGAAACUGCGAAUGGCUCAUUACAACAGUUAUAGUCGAUUGGACGACGCUAAUUACAUGGAUAACCGUGGUAAUUCUAGAGCUAAUACAUGCACCGAUGUUCAACCGUAAGGAAGAGCAGUGUCUAAUUAGAUAACGAACCAUUACGCUUUGCGUCUCUUUUGGUGAGUCAUAAUGAUUUAACAAAUCGAACGGCUUCGGCUGUCGAUGUGUCCUUU